Molecule: non-coding RNA, 886 nt
Organism: Peromyscus maniculatus bairdii (prairie deer mouse)
Lineage: Eukaryota; Metazoa; Chordata; Mammalia; Rodentia; Cricetidae
Source: RefSeq, a predicted model, not a curated record
GAAGAAGAAAAGUAGGAGAAAGAAGAGGUGUUCAUCCUUCCUGGUCCAGAGCCUACAGAGACCCCAGGUCCCUGCCUCAGCUUCCGGAGGUCUCACUCCAAAGGGAAGAUGACUUUCCUGUGGACUCACCUGGACACCCCAGCCACAGAACGCGCUUCCUUCUCCGUCCUGGCGAAAUUAUCUGGAACGCUUCUUUCUUAAGGACAAAGAGAAAAUGCUGAUCUGGCUCCUUUCCCACUGACUGAGGCUCAGAAUACUUGGGGGUUGCCAGAUGGCUGAGAGGGGCUGGUCCCCCACUACCUGCCCUCCUAGCACUACAGGUGCCCAAUGAGAAGCUUCCUGCUCUAAGUCCAGGUGGACGCCAGGCAUGUCCCCAACUGAGGAGACUUUCAGCCAGGCCUACUCCUGUUUCCAAAAUGACAGUUUUUCCUUCACUCAGCCUUUGGAGGGAAAGGAACAGCUUGACAUCCCUGAAGGCCUGAAGGGACUGUGUUAACUUCAAAGAGAUGGACAGAAGAGGCAACAGGAGUCCCCGAGAGUGCUACCUUCUAACUGGCUGGUGGUGUUUUACAUGUUUCUUUUCUUUUUUUUUUAAAUUAAGAAAAAUUUUCCAUUCAUUUUACACACCAAUCAAAGACCCCCCUUUUCCCUACUUCCACCCCCCCUUAAUUUUUUUCUUUUCAUUCAAGGUCUUUUUGGUCUAAACAUCACAAUGUCACACCUGCACAUGGAGAUUCUGCGGCAUUUUGCUCCAGAGUUUUGUCCUCAAUCAGGAGUUACUGCUUUUCUGUGAGUCCAGACUAGCUAAGGCCAUAGGGUUGAUCCUGAGUAACUCCGACUUUUGUUAGACAAAUUAAUAAAAAUGAAGGGAUUUUUGUUUUCCAAA